GACGAACGCUGGUGGCGUGCUUAACACAUGCAAGUCGAACGAUGAAACCUAGCUUGCUAGGUCGAUUAGUGGCGAACGGGUGAGUAACACGUGACUAACCUGCCCCUUUCUCUGGGAUAACGCUCCGAAAGGAGUGCUAAUACCGGAUACUCACACCGAGGCACAUGCCUUGGUGUGGAAAGUUUUUCGGAAAGGGAUGGAGUCGCGGCCUAUCAGCUUGUUGGUGAGGUAACGGCUCACCAAGGCGACGACGGGUAGCCGGCCUGAGAGGGCGACCGGCCACACUGGGACUGAGACACGGCCCAGACUCCUACGGGAGGCAGCAGUGGGGAAUAUUGCACAAUGGGCGCAAGCCUGAUGCAGCGACGCCGCGUGAGGGAUGAAGGUCUUCGGAUUGUAAACCUCUUUCAGUAGGGACGGAGCGAAAGUGACGGUACCUAAAGAAGAAGCACCGGCUAACUACGUGCCAGCAGCCGCAGUAA
This 482-nucleotide ribosomal RNA is filed under the name uncultured bacterium. RNAcentral's name for it is "partial 16S ribosomal RNA". It matches the Rfam family "Bacterial small subunit ribosomal RNA", at positions 28 to 523 of the family's 1533-position model. The record is from RNAcentral.